UUAACGAAGCGCGGCGCGAUCCAGUCUUUACGCAAACGCCUGUGGCGAUCACCGCGUAAGGGCCAUUCGGUCAUAGACACCGGCCCGCGGUCAUGCUGUGAAAGACGCGACGA
Molecule: long non-coding RNA, 113 nt
Organism: Ceratosolen solmsi marchali
Lineage: Eukaryota; Metazoa; Arthropoda; Insecta; Hymenoptera; Agaonidae
Exons: 3
Source: RefSeq, a predicted model, not a curated record